This 70-nucleotide transfer RNA is filed under the name Dipodomys ordii (Ord's kangaroo rat). It matches the Rfam family "tRNA". Rfam says of the family: Transfer RNA (tRNA) molecules are approximately 80 nucleotides in length. Their secondary structure includes four short double-helical elements and three loops (D, anti-codon, and T loops). The record is from Rfam by way of RNAcentral. Lineage: Eukaryota; Metazoa; Chordata; Mammalia; Rodentia; Heteromyidae.
GGGAAUAUGGCUUAGUGGUAGAGUACUUGCCUAGCAUGCAUGAGGCCCUGGGUUCAAUUUCUCAAUACCA